GCGCGAAAACUUUACAAUGCGAGAAAUCGUGAUAAGGGAACCCCGAGUGCCCGUAAAUCCGGGCUGUCCAUCAGUGUAAAAAACUGGUGAAGAAAGGGCCGGGCAAGACUGGUGCCAGCCGCCGCGGUAAUACCGGCGGCUCGAGUGGUGGCCGCUAUUAUUGGGCUUAAAGCGUUCGUAGCUGGAUUGUUAAGUCUCCUGGGAAAUCCACCGGCUCAACCGAUGGGCGUUCGGGAGAUACUGGCAAUCUAGGGACCGGGAGAGGUGAGAGGUACUCCAGGGGUAGGAGUGAAAUCCUGUAAUCCUUGGGGGACCACCUGUGGCGAAGGCGUCUCACCAGAACGGACCUGACGGCAAGGGACGAAAGCUAGGGGCACGAACCGGAUUAGAUACCCGGGUAGUCCUAGCCGUAAACGAUACUCGCUAGGUGUCGGCCACGGUGCGACCGUUGUCGGUGCCGUAGGGAAGCCGUGAAGCGAGCCACCUGGGAAGUACGGCCGCAAGGCUGAAACUUAAAGGAAUUGGCGGGGGA
This 532-nucleotide ribosomal RNA is filed under the name uncultured Methanosarcinales archaeon. Its description in RNAcentral is "bacterial SSU rRNA". It matches the Rfam family "Archaeal small subunit ribosomal RNA", at positions 339 to 875 of the family's 1478-position model. The record is from RNAcentral. Lineage: Archaea; Methanobacteriati; Methanobacteriota; Methanomicrobia; Methanosarcinales.